UUCUGUAAGCCUGUGAAGGUGAGUUGAGAAGCUUGCUGGAGGUAUCAGAAGUGCGAAUGCUGACAUGAGUAACGACAAUGGGUGUGAAAAACACCCACGCCGAAAGACCAAGGGUUCCUGCGCAACGUUAAUCGACGCAGGGUUAGUCGGUUCCUAAGGCGAGGCUGAAAAGCGUAGUCGAUGGGAAACAGGUUAAUAUUCCUGUACUUCUGGUUACUGCGAUGGAGGGACGGAGAAGGCUAGGCCAGCUUGGCGUUGGUUGUCCAAGUUUAAGGUGGUAGGCUGAAAUCUUAGGUAAAUCCGGGGUUUCAAGGCCGAGAGCUGAUGACGAGUCGUCUUUUAGAUGACGAAGUGGUUGAUGCCAUGCUUCCAAGAAAAGCUUCUAAGCUUCAGGUAACCAGGAACCGUACCCCAAACCGACACAGGUGGUCGGGUAGAGAAUACCAAGGCGCUUGAGAGAACUCGGGUGAAGGAACUAGGCAAAAUGGCACCGUAACUUCGGGAGAAGGUGCGCCGGCUAGGGUGAAGGAUUUACUCCGUAAGCUCUGGCUGGUCGAAGAUACCAGGCCGCUGCGACUGUUUAUUAAAAACACAGCACUCUGCAAACACGAAAGUGGACGUAUAGGGUGUGACGCCUGCCCGGUGCCGGAAGGUUAAUUGAUGGGGUUAGCGCAAGCGAAGCUCUUGAUCGAAGCCCCGGUAAACGGCGGCCGUAACUAUAACGGUCCUAAGGUAGCGAAAUUCCUUGUCGGGUAAGUUCCGACCUGCACGAAUGGCGUAACGAUGGCGGCGCUGUCUCCACCCGAGACUCAGUGAAAUUGAAAUCGCUGUGAAGAUGCAGUGUAUCCGCGGCUAGACGGAAAGACCCCGUGAACCUUUACUGUAGCUUUGCACUGGACUUUGAGCCUGCUUGUGUAGGAUAGGUGGGAGGCUUUGAAGCGUGGACGCCAGUUCGCGUGGAGCCAUCCUUGAAAUACCACCCUGGCAUGCUUGAGGUUCUAACUCUGGUCCGUGAUCCGGAUCGAGGACAGUGUAUGGUGGGCAGUUUGACUGGGGCGGUCUCCUCCUAAAGAGUAACGGAGGAGUACGAAGGUGCGCUCAGACCGGUCGGAAAUCGGUCGCAGAGUAUAAAGGCAAAAGCGCGCUUGACUGCGAGACAGACACGUCGAGCAGGUACGAAAGUAGGUCUUAGUGAUCCGGUGGUUCUGUAUGGAAGGGCCAUCGCUCAACGGAUAAAAGGUACUCCGGGGAUAACAGGCUGAUACCGCCCAAGAGUUCAUAUCGACGGCGGUGUUUGGCACCUCGAUGUCGGCUCAUCACAUCCUGGGGCUGAAGCCGGUCCCAAGGGUAUGGCUGUUCGCCAUUUAAAGUGGUACGCGAGCUGGGUUUAGAACGUCGUGAGACAGUUCGGUCCCUAUCUGCCGUGGACGUUUGAGAUUUGAGAGGGGCUGCUCCUAGUACGAGAGGACCGGAGUGGACGAACCUCUGGUGUUCCGGUUGUCACGCCAGUGGCAUUGCCGGGUAGCUAUGUUCGGAAAAGAUAACCGCUGAAAGCAUCUAAGCGGGAAACUUGCCUCAAGAUGAGAUCUCACUGGGAACUUGAUUCCCCUGAAGGGCCGUCGAAGACUACGACGUUGAUAGGCUGGGUGUGUAAGCGUUGUGAGGCGUUGAGCUAACCAGUACUAAUUGCCCGUGAGGCUUGACUAU
RNAcentral lists this ribosomal RNA (1707 nucleotides) under Pseudomonas aeruginosa. Its description in RNAcentral is "partial 23S ribosomal RNA". It matches the Rfam family "Bacterial large subunit ribosomal RNA", at positions 1239 to 2925 of the family's 2925-position model. Lineage: Bacteria; Pseudomonadati; Pseudomonadota; Gammaproteobacteria; Pseudomonadales; Pseudomonadaceae. The record is from RNAcentral.